Long non-coding RNA from Vidua macroura (Pin-tailed whydah), 793 nucleotides. RefSeq lists it as uncharacterized. NCBI's taxonomy places the organism in Eukaryota, Metazoa, Chordata, Aves, Passeriformes, Viduidae. The transcript has 3 exons. The record is from RefSeq and is a predicted model, not a curated record.
GACACUCUGGCCUCAAACUAUAUGUUUCCAGUCAAGAGUUCCUAUGCACUGGAAAUUUCAGGCAGCUUAUUUGAGUUCCUUUGUCAGGUAAAGAAGAAUGAUCUAUCACGUACGGAACUCAUUGGGGUUCUAGGCAACCUCAAUGGUUUCUGUGAUGUUGUGAUGUUGCUGUUGUUGUCCUGUCAUAAAUACCCAGACAUCUUGACGACUACACUCAGCUCAAGAUUUUAUCGUCUCCUGUGCUGCUGCAGUAUUUGUGUCACUUGGGAAACACUGCCAGUGGAUGGGAUUGGGUACAAGUGUAAUCAGAAAGGCCACCGAGGCAGGGAAGGAGGACAGCUGUCCUAAGCAUUCAGAGCUUUACAUUCUGUGCCGUUCUGAUAUGACCAACUACAGAAUCAAAGAUAUCCAGCAAUAGUGAGGAAGAGGAAUUAAGGGAGCCAGCUGAUAUAGCUGCUUAAGAAAAUUGUUCCUGAUCUGCCUUUGCAAUAGUUCUUGCCCAUUUACAGUGAAAUCUUGUCAGAUCUCCAUUCCUUGGAGCUGUUGUGGGUCAGGAGCAGAUAAUUUCCACAUUAUUUGUGUGAGGAUAUAUGGAGCGUGAGAAGAUUUUACCUGGAGAUGUUGAGAUGGGGUAAGCGAAGAUCCUGAGUGCUGGACCAGAGGUGUGAGAAUUGGUAGACCUGCAUAAAAUGAUGAAGAAAUGUUUAGGGGAAGAAGUCAGAGGAACAAAGAUAGUAUCACCCAGAAAAGGCUGUGAAAGGGGCUGAUUGCAUAUAAAAUGCGCCUAUCUGAA